GGAUGAGGUCAGCGUGGGAAGGAUGAGGUCAGAGUGGGAAGGAUGAGGUCAGAGUGGGAAGGAUGAGGUCAGAGUGGGAAGGAUGAGGUCAGAGUGGGAAGGAUGAGGUCAGAGUGGGAAGGAUGAGGUCAGCGGAGGGAAGGAUGAGGUCAGAGUGGGAAGGAUGUGGUCAGAGUGGGAAGGAUGAGCUCAGCGGAGGGAAGGAUGUGGUCAGCGGAGGGAAGGAUGUGGUCAGCGGUGGGAAGUAUGAGGUCAGAGUGGGAAGGAUGUGGUCAGCGGAGGGAAGGAUGUGCUGAGAGUGGGAAGAAUGAGGUCAGCGGAGGGAAGGAUGUGGUCAGAUUGGGAAGGAUGUGGUCAGAGUGGGAAGGAUGUGGUCAGAGUGGGAAGGAUGUGGUCAGAGAGGGAAGGAUGUGGUCAGCGGAGGGAAGGAUGUGGUCAGCGGAGGGAAGGAUGUGGUCAGCGGAGGGAAGGAUGUGGUCAGAGUGGGAAGGAUGUGGUCAGCAGAGGGAAGGAUGUGGUCAGCGGAGGGAAGUAUGAGGUCAGCAGAGGGAAGGAUGAGGUCAGCAGAGGGAAGGAUGUGGUCAGCGGAGGGAAGGAUGAGGUCAAAGGGAGAGGCGGGAGCAGUAGGAUGUCUCGUCUCGUCGUCUCCCCAUCCACGCCGUCUGUGGCUUCGUAUGACUCAGUCAGAUGACGUUAGAGUUCCGUACAAGUAGCUAGCUAACGACACAGCUUCUUGUGGUGACGAGAAGAAAGAACCUGAGGUCGUGUAGUUACAUAAACAGUACUUACUGGUUAAUCCAUACUACAGGGUGGACAAAUGUAGACACUGAAUUAUUGAUUUAAAGGCCCGAAGCUUUCCAUUAGAUCUGAUAGUUAGAUCGUCUAUAGAAGAGAAAGAACCACACAUUGCAGAAGAGAGAAACAAAUGGCAAGACAGUCUAUGUGAAGAUAAAGCAGAGGUAGAGGUCGAGAGAGGUGUUCCUCCAUCCAUUGUUUCACUCCUUUUCCUCCACUCCUCGAGGCCAAACCAGCCCUCUACUCCAUUAGGCUCUGGGGUCAAUGUAUGGAAAUGUAUGACAGUAUCCAUCCAUCACAUCAGUGACAGGGGUGAGUCUCCACUCUAUUAUCCCCCAUCUGGAGUGUGUGAAGAUGGGCUAAGAUAACACCUUAGCCCCAGGCUUCGGCCCUCUGCACAUUAAUCAAGUGUAAACAGCCUGGCUGGUGGUACAUUAUCUGAUAGUUAGACCCCUCACUGCUAUAUCAACCACCCGGCCUGUAUGGCUGUGGCAGGCUCCAUAUGAGGAUAACACACACACACACACCACAAUAUGAGGAUAUUUCCCGGCCUUACUAUACAAUAGAGUAGACAGAGACACAAAAUCCCUAUAGAAAGUCCAAUUACGUUUGGAAUCCUGACAUCUCCGCAACGUAAAAAAAAAAAAACAGGAAGCCUAUGCAUAGAGCCAACCCGCCAGAGAGAGAAAUACUGCCACUUGUUAUCUGUGCCCAUUUAUGGCGAUUUAAAAGGAACCCAGGAGAGUAGGCAUUGUUCAGGGGUGCACUGUAUGCCCUGCCCCUCUGCCCCGCUGCCAUAUGGCACAGUGCUGGGAGACCUCCGGGGGGAGCCGUAGCGCCAAGCCCUAAUGCAGGAGACAAGUGAUUUAUCACCUGGCCACCAGGGCUAAUCCACCGGGCUCUCUGGUUCUCCUUGUGGGCCUCACACAGAGGAGGCUUUAUUAUCCACGUUUGUAUCUACUGUACAUACAUUGAGAACACACACACACA
This is a long non-coding RNA of Oncorhynchus tshawytscha (Chinook salmon), 1785 nucleotides long. The record is from Ensembl. NCBI's taxonomy places the organism in Eukaryota, Metazoa, Chordata, Actinopteri, Salmoniformes, Salmonidae.